CAAUACAUAUUUGCCUUAUAAUUGAAGGCUGGAAUGAAUGGUUUGACAAGAAUAUACCUGUUUCCUUUAGAUUAUUUAGAAUUUUAUUUCUGGAUGAAAAAGUCCAGAUAAAAUUAAUAGACAAGAAGACCCUAUCGAGCUUCAGAAAAAUUAAUAGACUUAAGACAAAUCAAUAUAGUUAAAAGAAAGGCUAUUAAAUACUUUGGUUGGGGCAACUGAGGAGCAGUUAAAGCUUCCUUUAAUUUAUAAUUCUUACUAGUGUUGAUCCAAAGUUUUUGAUCAAAGGAAUUAGUUACCGUAGGGAUAACAGCAUUAUCUUUUUUAAGAGCCCAUAUCGAAAAAAAGGUUUGUGACUCGAUGUUGGACCAGAAUAUCCUAAAGAUGCAGAAGUCUUUAAGGG
Molecule: ribosomal RNA, 400 nt
Filed under: Conus virgo
Lineage: Eukaryota; Metazoa; Mollusca; Gastropoda; Neogastropoda; Conidae
Description: partial 16S ribosomal RNA
Rfam family: Bacterial large subunit ribosomal RNA
Source: RNAcentral